RNAcentral lists this transfer RNA (75 nucleotides) under Armatimonadota bacterium. RNAcentral's name for it is "Armatimonadetes bacterium (marine sediment metagenome) tRNA-His". It matches the Rfam family "tRNA". From Rfam's summary of the family: Transfer RNA (tRNA) molecules are approximately 80 nucleotides in length. The record is from RNAcentral. Lineage: Bacteria; Bacillati; Armatimonadota. RNAcentral also lists the same sequence under 1 other name.
GUGGCUGUAGCUCAAAGGUAGAGCGCUGGACUGUGGAUCCAGUGGCUGCGGGUUCGACUCCCGCCAGCCACCCCA